ACGUGCCAGCANCCGCGNUAAUACGUAGGGUGCGAGCGUUANUCGGAAUUACUGGGCGUAAAGCGUGCGCAGGCGGUGAUGUAAGACAGGUGUGAAAUCCCCGGGCUUAACCUGGGAACUGCAUUUGUGACUGCAUUGCUGGAGUGCGGCAGAGGGGGAUGGAAUUCCGCGUGUAGCAGUGAAAUGCGUAGAUAUGCGGAGGAACACCGAUGGCGAAGGCAAUCCCCUGGGCCUGCACUGACGUUCAUGCACGAAAGCGUGGGGAGCAAACAGGAUUAGAUACCCUGGUAGUCCACGCCCUAAACGAUGUCAACUGGUUGUUGGUCCUUCACUGGAUCAGUAACGAAGCUAACGCGUGAAGUUGACCGCCUGG
RNAcentral lists this ribosomal RNA (373 nucleotides) under uncultured bacterium #0319-7J14. RNAcentral describes it as "bacterial SSU rRNA". It matches the Rfam family "Bacterial small subunit ribosomal RNA", at positions 503 to 876 of the family's 1533-position model. The record is from RNAcentral. Lineage: Bacteria; Bacillati; Bacillota.